CACAAGGAGAGAGGAGACCUUUCAGCUCCACUCGCCCAUUGACUUUAUUGUGGAAGAGGCUGAGAGAGGCAGUGGGUCACCAACACAAUGGCUUUCAUGGCAACAGUCCUGGUGCUGCUGGCUGCCGGAGUUCAUGUCGAUAGUCAAACUCUCGACAGCUAUAUCCCUCACAUCACCAACCGGGAUCUGGAAGGGAAGGUCACCACAUCCACCUUUGUCCUGGAGCAACCACGCUGCAACUUCACUGAUGUUGGAGAAGACGAGUGGAUCUGGUUGCUGGUGGCCCGCAGCAGUGCUGCUGAAGGAAUUCCCCUGCCCAAAGUUCCUAAGAAUCUACCCUACCAGUCUUUCAGCACUAACUCCGCUUAUAUGACCCUGGAGACGGCUGCCGUCAACUACCCUUGUGCAACAUCACCAGAUGAGAUCACCAUUCUACGGGUUGGAACCGAAACCUCGUGCAUAAAGGAUGCCUCGACACCAAACUGCAAUGGCCCCCUCCCAGACCCUGGGCCCUACAAAGUCCGGUUUAUUGUAAUAAGACCCGAUAACACCACUAAGUCUAACUGGUCAGAUGACAUCAUACUGAUUCAAGGGAGAGACUACACCACUAUUAAUACGUCGCCCAGACGGGGGAACAAAGGAAUGAUCGCCCUCACUUCCAUCCUCUCGGUCCUCAUGGCUAUCCUGUUGGCCUCCUUCAUUGCUAUCCUGAUCUAUAAAUGUUCCGACAAUUGCGGCAAUGCUGAUAUCGCAAGCAUCCGGGAUGCAGCAACAGUGACCCGCUACUCCACCCAUCAUAUGUACAAUCAUCCUACAUCCAGUUCAUGAGUUUCUACAUCCUUCAACAUCUUCGUUCAGUCCCCCUCCUCCUCUAUUCAUUAGGACCAUGCAGAAAGCCUAACUGGACAGCUGACCUUUGAAGUAGGAACUCCAAAUCAACCCCCUUUUGCCUUCUCAGCACAUGUGGGGAAGGGAGAGACCAGGAGAGCCAUAAUCAUCUUCUACUGAAAUCUAAGCUUUGGGGGGUCACUAUAUUCUAUUGGUUAUAUACCAGUUUAACCAUGGCCAUAGCAUUCUGGGAACUGUAGUUUUGGAGAAGGUACUGAGAACUAUGUGGUGAUCCUAAGCUCUCCCUACUUCACAGAACUACAGUUCCCCAGGGAGAAAGAAAGACUGCUAAACCAGUUUCGGUUUGUAGUGGAGAUGCCCUGUUAGACUUCUUUUUGGUACUCAAGAGCCAAUUUAUCCAACCAAGGGAAGGCCAAGACUUGCCUUCUCUUCACAUGUUGACUUGGGGGCAGUUGCACAGAAGAAUUGUCAGGGGUCAUUUCGUAGAAAAAGAGGUGCAGGAACUUAUUAGCAUA
This is an RNA transcript of Gekko japonicus, 1364 nucleotides long. It is a transcript of the gene named uroplakin-3b-like protein, with no coding region annotated. Lineage: Eukaryota; Metazoa; Chordata; Lepidosauria; Squamata; Gekkonidae. The transcript is spliced from 7 exons. The record is from RefSeq and is a predicted model, not a curated record.